AGCAGCCGCGGUAAUUCCAGCUCCAAUAGCGUAUAUUAAAGUUGUUGCAGUUAAAAAGCUCGUAGUUGAAUUUCGGGGUUAGUAGGUUGGUCAUGCCUCUGGUAUGUACUGGUCUCACUGAUUCCUCCUUCCUGAUGAGCCGUAAUGCCAUUAAUUUGGUGUUGCGGGGAAUUUGGACUGUUACUUUGAAAAAAUUAGAGUGUUUAAAGCAAGCUAACGCUUGAAUACAUUAGCAUGGAAUAAUGAAAUAGGACGUUUGAUUCUAUUUUGUUGGUUUCUAGGAUCGACGUAAUGAUUAAUAGGGAUAGUUGGGGGCAUUAGUAUUCAAUUGUCAGAGGUGAAAUUCUUGGAUUUAUUGAAGACUAACUACUGCGAAAGCAUUUGCCAAGGAUGUUUUCAUUAAUCAAGAAUGAAAGUUAGGGGAUCGAAGACGAUCAGAUACCGUCGUAGUCUAACCAUAAACUAUGCCGACUAGGGAUCGGAUGAUGUUAAUUUUUUAAUGACUCAUUUGGCGCCUUAC
Molecule: ribosomal RNA, 520 nt
Filed under: uncultured Glomus
Lineage: Eukaryota; Fungi; Glomeromycota; Glomeromycetes; Glomerales; Glomeraceae
Description: SSU rRNA
Rfam family: Eukaryotic small subunit ribosomal RNA
Source: RNAcentral